This 818-nucleotide ribosomal RNA is filed under the name uncultured organism. Its description in RNAcentral is "bacterial SSU rRNA". It matches the Rfam family "Bacterial small subunit ribosomal RNA", at positions 13 to 825 of the family's 1533-position model. The record is from RNAcentral.
UUGAUCCUGGCUCAGGAUGAACGCUAGCGGCAGGCCUAACACAUGCAAGUCGAGGGGUAACGAGUCAGCUUGGUCCAUGGUGACGACCGGCGCACGGGUGAGUAACGCGUAUGGAACCUACCUCUAACUGGAAGAUAGCCUCGCGGAAAUCGGAUAAUAUCGAUUACGAUACAUAUGUGGCCUCUCAAAUAGAUAAAAGCUACGAGCGGUUACAGAUGGUCAUGCGUAACAUUAGCUAGUUGGUGAGGUAACGGCUCACCAAGGCCACGAUGUCUAGGGGUUCUGAGAGGAUAGUCCCCCACACUGGUACUGAGACACGGACCAGACUCCUACGGGAGGCAGCAGUGAGGAAUAUUGGUCAAUGGGCGCUAGCCUGAACCAGCCAUGCCGCGUGCAGGAUGACGGCCCUACGGGUUGUAAACUGCUUUUGUGCGAGAAGAAUAUAUCCUAUGUGUGCUGUGUUGACGGUAUCGCACGAAUAAGCAUCGGCUAACUCCGUGCCAGCAGCCGCGGUAAUACGGAGGAUGCAAGCGUUAUCCGGAUUCAUUGGGUUUAAAGGGUGCGCAGGCUGUAAACUAAGUCAGUGGUGAAAUCCCUGGGCUUAACUCUAGAAUUGUCAUUGAUACUGUUUUACUAGAAUGCAGUAGAGGACGGCGGAAUGUGUAGUGUAGCGGUGAAAUGCUUAGAUAUUACUCAGAACACCUAUUGCGAAGGCAGCUGACUAUACUGCGAUUGACGCUGAGGCACGANAGCGUGGGUAGCGAACAGGAUUAGAUACCCUGGUAGUCCACGCCGUAAACUAUGAUCACUCGUUGUUG